UACGGAGGAUGCGAGCGUUAUCCGGAUUUAUUGGGUUUAAAGGGUGCGCAGGCGGAUUUUUAAGUCAGCGGUCAAAUCGUGGGGCUCAACCCCAUCCAGCCGUUGAAACUGGGGAUCUAGAGUGUGCGUGAGGUAUGCGGAAUGCGUGGUGUAGCGGUGAAAUGCAUAGAUAUCACGCAGAACCCCGAUUGCGAAGGCAGCAUACCGGUGCACAACUGACGCUCAGGCACGAAAGCGUGGGUAUCGAACAGG
This 252-nucleotide ribosomal RNA is filed under the name uncultured bacterium. RNAcentral's name for it is "partial 16S ribosomal RNA". It matches the Rfam family "Bacterial small subunit ribosomal RNA", at positions 524 to 776 of the family's 1533-position model. The record is from RNAcentral.